AUGCACCUACAGAGGGGAAGGUCUUCUCAGGGUGAGACCACAGGCUUGUGUACACAUAGAACCUGGCUGUUACACACCUGGUUACAUCACGAAAUUGAUUUUGCUCCUUUCCAAUGCAGAGCUACAGUGAACAAAAAACCCCAAAUUCUACAAUUAAUGGGAAUCCUAAUUACUUCUUACAGAGAAGUUUUUGAGAAGCCAUCAUAUGCUGUGAGAAUAACCAGAGUGCAAAGCCAGCUCUAGCAGAGGUGGAAGUGGAUAUCUCCGUGAUGGUUUAUCUCCUGAGGACACUACAGAAGCUGCUGCCUCAUCCAGAAUAAAUUUUCUGGAAGACUGCA
This 338-nucleotide long non-coding RNA is filed under the name Cyanistes caeruleus (blue tit). Its description in RNAcentral is "lncRNA (ENSCCEG00000000675.1)". The record is from RNAcentral. Lineage: Eukaryota; Metazoa; Chordata; Aves; Passeriformes; Paridae.